UACGAAGGGGGCUAGCGUUGCUCGGAAUGACUGGGCGUAAAGGGCGCGUAGGCGGACGGCUUUGUCGGGCGUGAAAUUCCAGGGCUUAACCUUGGGGGCUGCGUUCGAGACGGGUUGUCUAGAGUUUGGAAGAGGGUCGUGGAAUUCCCAGUGUAGAGGUGAAAUUCGUAGAUAUUGGGGAAGAACACCGGGUGGCGAAGGCGGCGACCUGGUCCUUGACUGACGCUGAGGCGCGAAAAGCGUGGGGGAGCAAACAGG
RNAcentral lists this ribosomal RNA (258 nucleotides) under uncultured bacterium. RNAcentral's name for it is "partial 16S ribosomal RNA". It matches the Rfam family "Bacterial small subunit ribosomal RNA", at positions 524 to 776 of the family's 1533-position model. The record is from RNAcentral.